AGUGGGGAAUAUUGGACAAUGGGCGAAAGCCUGAUCCAGCCAUGCCGCGUGAGUGAUGAAGGCCUUAGGGUUGUAAAGCUCUUUUGGCGGGGACGAUAAUGACGGUACCCGCAGAAUAAGUCCCGGCUAACUUCGUGCCAGCAGCCGCGGUAAUACGAAGGGGACUAGCGUUGUUCGGAAUCACUGGGCGUAAAGCGCACGUAGGCGGAUAUGUCAGUCAGGGGUGAAAUCCCGGGGCUUAACCUCGGAACUGCCCUUGAUACAGCAUGUCUUGAGUCCGAUAGAGGUGGGUGGAAUUCCUAGUGUAGAGGUGAAAUUCGUAGAUAUUAGGAAGAACACCGGUGGCGAAGGCGGCCCACUGGAUCGGUACUGACGCUGAGGUGCGAAAGCGUGGGGAGCAAA
Molecule: ribosomal RNA, 402 nt
Filed under: uncultured Hyphomicrobium sp.
Lineage: Bacteria; Pseudomonadati; Pseudomonadota; Alphaproteobacteria; Hyphomicrobiales; Hyphomicrobiaceae
Description: bacterial SSU rRNA
Rfam family: Bacterial small subunit ribosomal RNA
Source: RNAcentral